AUUCUUGGGCUUGCUAACAACCGCCUUGCCCUGCGCUCCUGCGCCUUGUGCCGGUGGGCCUCACGUGGGUUGUAGACGUAGUCCGGGUGAUUUCUUCGGUGUACGAUGGCAGCUUCGGCCACCUUGCGCUGGUACGGCUCCUUGACGCCGCCGCUGAGAGAACGCCACAGCUUGCGCAGGCGGCUGCUCACGCGCUGGUUGUUCUCGUUCGGGUUCUCAGCGGCCACCGAUCGCCUCUUUUCCUGCGCCAACAGCAUGAAGGCGCUUGGAGGUCGCGGAAUGCGUGACCGCAGCUGGUAGCGGUGCUG
This is a long non-coding RNA of Dermacentor silvarum, 308 nucleotides long. RefSeq lists it as uncharacterized. The transcript has 3 exons. The record is from RefSeq and is a predicted model, not a curated record. NCBI's taxonomy places the organism in Eukaryota, Metazoa, Arthropoda, Arachnida, Ixodida, Ixodidae.